GGAUUCCCUCUCUCAAUGUCUCUCUGUCAAAAUGAAAUCAUAAAAAAAAAAAAAUUCUCAAUAAGACCCAGUAUUGGCCAUGAUAAAGAUGCUGGCCUGUACUGCCUUCAAAAUUCAGGGGCUAUUUUGCAUUUCCUU
Mustela erminea (ermine) is the source of this 138-nucleotide long non-coding RNA. RefSeq lists it as uncharacterized. The transcript is spliced from 2 exons. Lineage: Eukaryota; Metazoa; Chordata; Mammalia; Carnivora; Mustelidae. The record is from RefSeq and is a predicted model, not a curated record.